GUUUACAAUUAAUUUAGAAAUUAAUUAACAUGAGAUGCAAGGAUAUUAAUGCAGCGACUUUUUUUUUUUUUAAAAGAGAAAUGUAGCAUACUAUCCGUCUGUUUAUUUUUUUAAAAAAUAAAUUUAAUUGAAAAUAUAAAUCAAUUAGGAUUCGAGAGAAAAUUUGAUUUGGUUAAUACAAAUUAAUUAGAAUUCGAACUUGAAAUCUGGAAUACCAACCAUCAAGUCAUUUGUCAUUUGUAUUAUGGACUGUCGGUAAUGUAGCCACUU
RNAcentral lists this long non-coding RNA (270 nucleotides) under Ananas comosus (pineapple). RNAcentral describes it as "long non-coding RNA (ACOM_LNC014313)". The record is from RNAcentral. Lineage: Eukaryota; Viridiplantae; Streptophyta; Magnoliopsida; Poales; Bromeliaceae.